CUUUCAUAAAAAAGCUUGCGUUUGAGCACACGUGGCGGCAAUUCUUCUAGACCCCCGCCUCUCCCCUUUCCCCUGUAUUUCUGCAGCCACAGACAAAAUGGCCAGAGUGUAAAGUUCAUCUCACCUUCUGGCCUCCUGUCUGCUGAUUAGCCGGAUCAGCUGGUUUCAGUUCACUCAGUUCACCGCAGCAGCCUCUGUCUUCACAACAAAGGGGCUGUGUGUUGCUGGACAACAACCCUGUUGAUGUGUGCACAUUGGGACGCUCCUCCUGCAGCGGGGAGCAAAUGAUUGGGGCUGUUUGGGCAGAGCAGCUGGGAAUGGUGACCUUGAGACCAAAAAGAUAACUGCAAAAAAGUGGUGUGUGUGCGA
RNAcentral lists this long non-coding RNA (369 nucleotides) under Oryzias javanicus (javanese ricefish). RNAcentral's name for it is "lncRNA (ENSOJAG00000010006.1)". Lineage: Eukaryota; Metazoa; Chordata; Actinopteri; Beloniformes; Adrianichthyidae. The record is from RNAcentral.